GAUGAACGCUGGCGGCGUGCCUAAUACAUGCAAGUCGAGCGAACGGACGAGAAGCUUGCUUCUCUGAUGUUAGCGGCGGACGGGUGAGUAACACGUGGAUAACCUACCUAUAAGACUGGGAUAACUUCGGGAAACCGGAGCUAAUACCGGAUAAUCUUUUGAACCGCAUGGUUCAAAAGUGAAAGACGGUCUUGCUGUCACUUAUAGAUGGAUCCGCGCUGCAUUAGCUAGUUGGUAAGGUAACGGCUUACCAAGGCAACGAUGCAUAGCCGACCUGAGAGGGGGAUAGGCCACACUGGAACUGAGACACGGUCCAGACUCCUACGGGAGGCAGCAGUAGGGAAUCUUCCGCAAAGGGCGAAAGCAUGACGGAGCAACGCCGCGUGAGUGAUGAAGGUCUUCGGAUCGUAAAACUCUGUUAUUAGGGAAGAACAUAUGUGUAAGUAAAUGUGCACAUCUUGACGGUAACUAAUCAGAAAGCCACGGCUAACUACGUG
This 497-nucleotide ribosomal RNA is filed under the name uncultured bacterium. RNAcentral describes it as "partial 16S ribosomal RNA". It matches the Rfam family "Bacterial small subunit ribosomal RNA", at positions 28 to 507 of the family's 1533-position model. The record is from RNAcentral.